GGACCCGCACAAGCGGUGGAUGAUGUGGUUUAAUUCGACGCAACGCGAAAAACCUUACCUACCCUUGACAUGCCUGGAAUCCUGCAGAGAUGUGGGAGUGCUCGAAAGAGAGCCAGACACAGGUGCUGCAUGGCCGUCGUCAGCUCGUGUCGUGAGAUGUUGGGUUAAGUCCCGCAACGAGCGCAACCCUUGUCAUUAGUUGCUACGAAAGGGCACUCUAAUGAGACUGCCGGUGACAAACCGGAGGAAGGUGGGGAUGACGUCAGGUCAUCAUGGCCCUUAUGGGUAGGGCUACACACGUCAUACAAUGGCCGGUACAGAGGGCUGCCAACCCGCGAGGGGGAGCCAAUCCCAGAAAACCGGUCGUAGUCCGGAUCGCAGUCUGCAACUCGACUGCGUGAAGUCGGAAUCGCUAGUAAUCGCGGAUCAGCUUGCCGCGGUGAAUACGUUCCCGGGUCUUGUACACACCGCCCGUCACACCAUGGGAGCGGGUUCUGCCAGAAGUAGUUAGCCUAACCGCAAGGAGGGCGAUUACCACGGCAGGGUUCGUGACUGGGGUGAAGUCGUAACAAGGUAGCCGUAUCGGAAGGUGCGGCU
RNAcentral lists this ribosomal RNA (597 nucleotides) under uncultured Comamonadaceae bacterium. Its description in RNAcentral is "bacterial SSU rRNA". It matches the Rfam family "Bacterial small subunit ribosomal RNA", at positions 917 to 1519 of the family's 1533-position model. Lineage: Bacteria; Pseudomonadati; Pseudomonadota; Betaproteobacteria; Burkholderiales; Comamonadaceae. The record is from RNAcentral.